Molecule: non-coding RNA, 4063 nt
Organism: Pelobates cultripes (western spadefoot toad)
Lineage: Eukaryota; Metazoa; Chordata; Amphibia; Anura; Pelobatidae
Source: the annotation of a GenBank genome assembly
GCAAGAUUUAUUAAUACAUCCAAAAAGAAAGAAAAUAAUCUUUUUGUCACACUAUAUACAGAUAAUACACAGUUUUAUACACAUAUUACAUCAGAUUUUUUUAUGUUUUCCUUUAUAAUACACAAGAAAAAUAUACAUAAAAAUGUAAACUUUUGUAUACAAAAACCCUUAAACAAACCAAACAAUGACCAGAUAAAAAAAAGAUCACUUUCUGCUGCUGUUGGAUUUUUUAAAUAGCAAUUUGUUGCAUUCACUGCCAGAAUCACGUGAAAAUGCUUAGUAAACUAAAGUGAAAAUAUCAGGUUUGCUGUAUUUACUUCAAAUUCAUGAAAGCAAGUGCUUGCAAAAAAACAAACAAUUUAAGGGGUUAUUUCAAGCAUUAUUACCACUACAGCCCGCUGUAGUCGUUAUGAUGGUAGAAGUAUCCUGGCACUGUUUUCGGGUAAUGAGUCAAACCAAUUUGCAACCAUUUUCCCUGUUACCUGUGUCCCUGCCGGAUGCAGAAGGUCGUCCAAUGGCCGAUGACCUGCAUCCGAUUCACAGAACUGCAAAAGCAGGAUGCACAUACUUUUAACAUUCAUUGGCUGAAUGCGUGAGCUGAUCGCUCUCAUGCAAUGAAUGCAACUCUGUGCAUAGAAAUGUGUAGAAUUGACAAUAGCCAACCUUGAACUCUUGUUCCUGGCUGGCUAAUGACACUCCAGUGACUCUGACAAAGGUGGAGUUACACAUCUGGCAGCAAAGGAGUUCAACUCUGUAUAUGCAGCGUUUCAUAGUGAAAAAAUGCACAUAUAGACUCCAGGCACCAUGACCACUUUAAAUAACUAAUCUUUCAGGUAGACAUAAUAGCCUAGGUUUUUUUGUUCGUUUUUAAUUUCUAAAAUCUAAAUUUUUUGCUGGCACACAAUCCAAAUAUGCACAUCUCAGCUAUUAGAAAAUGUUAAGUAAUCAACAAUUUAAAUAGAAUAAAAACUGACUUUCUUUAUAACAGUUUGUUUCAGUAUUUAUUGUAGAUAAUUUCACUACAUCCAUUAGCACCAAGAAUUUAAAUUUAACCUAAUAAACCAAGGUGAAUCACAACUUAACUUUAGUGUCCAAUAGCAGCCUCUAUGCAGUAUUUGUCAAAAUUAGGCGAUAAAUGCCUUUGAACCUGCUAGAAGCAUUAAAGCCAAACAAAAAAAUGGUAUUUUAUAAAAAUAGAAUCUUUAUGAAAUACUCAUUUCACUGAUGUUUCAACCCAGUCAAGAGAUAGGAAGAGACAAAGUAGGGUCUACUUUGUCUCUGUAUUUCUCCUAAGUCUGACUUUCUUAGACUCUUGGCAGAGUCUAAAGGUCAAGCAGGACAGCUGUCACCAGUGAAUUGGUUGUGUCUAUGGAGGAUCCUGCUAGCUUGUGGGAUCCUCCAUAAACCUCAAAGCUGAACUCUUGCAUGCAGCAUUGACUCUGAAAAGGAUCUGAUGGAUCAAGAUGGCCGCAACAGUAAACUUCCCUUUACCUGCCCUCUUUUUCCCCGGCCACCGGACUCCCAGUGGCGAUGUCACUGUCGGGAGUCUUUGCAGUCGGGAGUCCCCAGACUGUGACUAUGCCUCUUUAACUCCUCUAGGAACAAUAAAAAGUUUUGCCAUUGUUAUUCUGCUGCCCCUAAAUGCCAGGAUGGUUUGACUUGCUUAUUGAGCUUUAGCAGCAGUGUAUAGCUCUGUCAUGAAAUGAACGAGGCAUUUAAAUUUUGAAAUCAUGAUGGCAUUCUGAGGUUGACUAGCGUGGCAUAGAACUUUCACUUUAACGCCUUAAGGACACGUGACAUGUGUGACAUGUCAUGAUCCCCUUUUAUUCCAGAAGUUUGGUCCUUAAGGGGUUAAAAGUUUUAGAGAACAAAUUUUUUCCUUCAGUUACAGAUUGCUCUUUUUAUCAUAUCUGGUUCUUUUGGAUAUUUUGCAUAAUUAUGAACAUAAGAGUAAAAUGGAUUGUGGAUCCUGGCAGUGAAUGAGUUACAGCCUAUUACAGGUGCCACACAUUGAAUGUUACUUUGAAUGGUUUUUCUGCCUAAAAUGCAGUUAGGAUUUGAGUCUAUGGCAUUUCUAUGGCAUAUCAACCCGUUUUUAAUGCCAGAAAUGCCGGUUACAUACUGCACAUAAAUACAGUGUGGCUCUUGCCAGCAAUGAAAGGGUUAACUUUUAUCUUUUUACAUCAGACAAAUGUCACAUACAACGGAAUCGCAACUAAAAAUAUCAGUAUAUCCUUGCUACCAUGCAGUUAUAGAAUUAAGAGUAAAAUAUUUUUAACAGUGCACCACAACUUACCGUUUAAGGUUUAUAAAUAUUUCUUGCAUUUUAAGAGGGUUUUUUUUGUUUGUUUUUUUAAAUAAAAAUUGUGAUGCAUCAUUCACAGCUGAUCUAUAGAAUACCAAAAAAAAAAAGUACAUAGCGGAUGUUAACUUCAUGAAUUUGAAUAGUCAUUAAACGUUCAAAUAACUAUUUCUUGGGGUCAACAUACUUACACAACUGCAUGUUAUACCCACUCCUUAUGGCUGACAAACCACAUCUUAAAAUUAUUUGAAUUCAACAGAUGAAUAAUGGGAGUUCUAAUGCAGCAACAUCUUAAGGUCAGAAAGCUUUAAAAGCCCUGUACUAAAUCAUUCAGCUUUAGCAGCUCAUUAUUAAAAUUGAUGAGGCAGCUCAUUUAUUCCUUGGCAAAAGUUAUUUUAUUGUCUAUUUAAGACUUCACAAGAUUCUCACCUCUAAUGACCACUUACCCAUUUUAGGGUUGGCCCCACGUUGAAAAGGGGACUCUAAAGUUCACAUGUAUGCCUUGAAUCCUACGGUCUGCUGAAUUACAAACAAUUAGCUGAAUUUUGGAUGCAGAGUCUCUGCGUACUUGUCCUAAUGUUUAUUGUUAUAACUUACUUCAAAUAACUAUGGAAACCCAGAAAGGCCAUGUAUUAACUUUGUUAACGUGCUUCCUCGAAUAAACAAGGUGUUUUCUCAAGAUAACAAGUCAGAAAAAUUUAAAAAAGCAAUGCCUUCCUGAGCUUCUGUAAAUAACAUAACUAGCUUUAUUUUAAAUACUACAUUUAAAUAAUUAAAAUCUUUUUUUUUUUAAAGUUAAUUUAAAAAAAUUAAAAAGCCAAAUGAUCUAGCAAUGAUUUUUAUUUAUUUUAUUGCCAGUGACUGAAGUCUAGGUGAACUUUUUUUUUUUUUUUUUUUUAAAUGCCAACUAGAAUAUAUAUAUUUAAUUUCAAAUAUUUUAUUCUAGGUCUCUGCUACUCACUGCUUUCUCUAAAAUGAAAUCUUUUCUUGCGCUAUUUGAAGGUGCAGGAAUGCACAAGUCACAUGAACUUAGAAUUCAAACCUUUUUAUGCGUAAAUAAGGAAAAGCUUGCACUAAUGAGCGGAAUUUUAGUUUUAAUAGCACAAUCACGAUACAGCUAGGAGUCAAAUCAGUGACCAGAUAACGUAGAAACUAAAGUAUAAAAAAAGAAUGACAGCAAUGUACUGUGUAUGCUUUUAUAUAUAUAUAUAUACAUACAUAUACACACACACACACACACACACAGUAGUAGCUUGCACUCCAACAAUACUUUUGUAGUGCCCGGUGCUGGUUGUGGCAAAGGUAGAUAUGGGUGUAGAAACAAUCGCACUCCUGGGACUUGGUUAAAGUAGUAAAAUUUAGCUUGUAUUUAUUCCAUAUAAAAUAUCAACAUUUCUGUUCCAACAUGGAGCUUUCAUCUUGUUACCUGUCCUGAUGAAAGCUCCAUGUUAGAGCUGAAACGUAUUGGACUUUUUCCUAAAAUUGGUCUAUAACAUUUAGGCAAUUGUAUUUUAAUAUUUUCCUUUACUCAACUAAUGAAACUAGAAAUUACAACAUAAAAAGUUGUAACUGUCAAUACGUGUUCUUUACUCUAGAGUUAUCCAGACUUUUUUAGAUCUCAGCAUUGAGAAUGACACAUGGUGUUUACAGAAAUGCGCUUCUAAAUUUAAAACAAAAAAUACAUUUUUAUUAGACAUCAUACCAAAACAAAUGGUUUCAUAAAACACUCACUACUUAACACAACACACAAAACAUACACAC